AUAGCUUUCUGAGGCAACAUUAACAGCUGUCAUCUUAACAGGCGACGGCUUAACGGGUGUCGGCUUAACAGGUAGAGUGGAAUCUUUAUUUAAGGUUUUGGCUUAACAGGUAGAGUGGAGUCUUUAUUUAAGGUGUCGGCUUAACAGGUAGACUGGAGUCUUUAUUUAAGGUUUCGGCUUAACAGGUAGAGUGGAGUCUUUAUUUAAGGUGUCGGCUUAACAGGUAGAGAGGAAUCUUUAUUUAAGGUGUCAGCUUAACAGGUAGACUGGAGUCUUUAUUUAAGGUGUCGGCUUAACAGGUAGAGUGGAGUCUUUAUUUAAGGUGUCGGCUUAACAGGUAGAGUGGAGUCUUUAUUUAAGGUUUCGGCUUAACAGGUAGAGUGGAGUCUUUAUUUAAGGUUUCGGCUUAACAGGUAGAGUGGAGUCUUUAUUUAAGGUUUUGGCUUAACAGGUAGACUGGAGUCUUUAUUUAAGGUGUCGGCUUAACAGGUAGACUGGAGUCUUUAUUUAAGGUGUCGGCUUAACAGGUAGACUGGAGUCUUUAUUUAAGGUGUCGGCUUAACAGGUAGAGUGGAGUCUUUAUUUAAGGUGUCGGCUUAAUAGGUAGAGUGGAGUCUUUAUUUAAGGUGUCGGCUUAACAGGUAGAGUGGAGUCUUUAUUUAAGGUGUCGGCUUGACAGGUGUAGCUUAACAGGUGUUGCCUUAGCUAGGGUGUCAUAACUUUUGACUGAUGUCAUAGUAGAUUAAAGUUGUCAUGUAGCUUUAGCAACUCCUGGCAGGUUGGUUUCCUGAAAGCUCUAUCAAGUAACAGGCUGGAGAAUGUUUCCUCUGGCAUGUAAGGAUUGUAAUAUAAACUUCCUGGUUGACCAGAUAAAGAAGAAUCAGAAUGGCAUCCGUUGUGCUUCAGAAGACAUAUCUCAACAUCAAUUGUCCCGUAUUUGUUGGAAGAUGCUAUGAUGAACCUUAGUUGGAAAUCACAAAAUACAGGACAAACAGAAAUGUCAGAUUAAAG
This is a long non-coding RNA of Esox lucius (northern pike), 1011 nucleotides long. Lineage: Eukaryota; Metazoa; Chordata; Actinopteri; Esociformes; Esocidae. The record is from Ensembl.